RNAcentral lists this ribosomal RNA (116 nucleotides) under Pteropus alecto (black flying fox). Lineage: Eukaryota; Metazoa; Chordata; Mammalia; Chiroptera; Pteropodidae. The record is from RNAcentral.
GUCUAUGGCCAUGCCACCCUGAACAAGCCCGAUGUCUGAUCUCAGAAGCUAAUCAGGGUCAGGCCUGGUUAGUACUUGGAUGGAAGACCACCCAGGAAGACCAGGUGCUGUAGAUA